This 253-nucleotide ribosomal RNA is filed under the name uncultured bacterium. RNAcentral's name for it is "partial 16S ribosomal RNA". It matches the Rfam family "Bacterial small subunit ribosomal RNA", at positions 524 to 776 of the family's 1533-position model. The record is from RNAcentral.
UACGUAGGGCGCAAGCGUUGUCCGGAAUCAUUGGGCGUAAAGAGCUCGUAGGUGGUCUGUUACGUCUGCUGUGAAAUCCUAGGGCUUAACCCUGGGCCUGCAGUGGAUACGGGCAGGCUAGAGUGUGGUAGGGGAGAUCGGAAUUCCUGGUGUAGCGGUGAAAUGCGCAGAUAUCAGGAGGAACACCAAUGGCGAAGGCAGCUCGCUGGGACGGUACUGACGCUGAGACGCGAAAGCGUGGGGAGCAAACAGG